Molecule: ribosomal RNA, 1916 nt
Filed under: Dehalococcoidia bacterium
Lineage: Bacteria; Bacillati; Chloroflexota; Dehalococcoidia
Description: partial 23S ribosomal RNA
Rfam family: Bacterial large subunit ribosomal RNA
Source: RNAcentral
GGUCAAGUUACUAAGGGCACACGGUGGAUGCCUUGGUGUCAGUAGGCGAUGAAGGACGCGGUAAGCUGCGAUAAGCCUCGGGGAGCUGCAAACAAGCUUUGAUCCGGGGAUUUCCGAAUGGGGAAACCUGUCAGGAUAACCUCCUGUCAUCUUCAUCUGAAUACAUAGGGUGAAGAAGCGAACGCGGGGAAGUGAAACAUCUCAGUACCCGCAGGAAAAGAAAUCAAUUGAGAUUCCCUUAGUAGUGGCGAGCGAAACGGGAACAGCCUAAACCGGAGGGAUGCAAGUUCUUCCGGGGUUGCGGGACCUCAACGUAGGACGUCAAGGGUUAGCGGAACGGUCUGGAAAGUCCGGCCAUAGUGGGUGAUAGCCCCGUACGCGAAAAUCCAAGGCGCCUUAGAGGUAUCCCAAGUACCACGGGACACGAGAAAUCCCGUGGGAAUCUGGGUAGACCAUUAUCCAAGGCUAAAUACUAACUGACGACCGAUAGUGCACCAGUACCGUGAGGGAAAGGCGAAAAGAACCCCGAGAGGGGAGUGAAAUAGAACCUGAAACCGUAUGCCUACAAACAGUUCAAGGGCUAUGUCCCGCAAGGGAAAUGCCUAAGAGCGUGCCUUUUGCAUAAUGACUCAGCGAGUUACUGUACGUGGCAAGGUUAAGCCGAUCGAGGUGGAGCCGUAGCGAAAGCGAGUCUGAAUAGGGCGAUUCAGUCGCGUAUAGUAGACCCGAAGCGUGUUGAUCUACCCAUGGCCAGGGUGAAAGGUCGGUAACACGGCCUGGAGGCCCGAACUGGUGGUUGUUGCAAAAACCUCGGAUGAGCUGUGGGUAGGAGUGAAAGGCUAAUCAAAACACGUGAUAGCUGGUUCUUCCCGAAAUAUAUUUAGGUAUAGCCUCGUAAAUUAAGUGCCGGGGGUAGAGCACUAGAUGGGCUAGGGCCCUUCACGGGGUACCAAACCCAACUAAACUCCGAAUACCGGCAACUUCUAUUACGGGAGUCAGUCAGUGGGGGAUAAGCUCCAUUGUCGAGAGGGGAACAACCCAGACCGCCAGCUAAGGUCCCUAAAGUAGGCUAAGUGGGAAAGGAUGUGGAACUACAUAGACACCCAGGAGGUUGGCUUAGAAGCAGCCAUCCUUUAAAGAAAGCGUAAUAGCUCACUGGUCUAGUGGUUCUGCGCCGAAAAUGUAUCGGGGCUCAAGCCUGCUACCGAAGCUGCGGAUUUACAGGGAAACCUGUAAGUGGUAGGGAAGCUUUCCAGCAACCUGCGAAGGCGGACCGUGAGGACCGCUGGAGGAACUGGAAGUGCUUAUGCUGAGAUAAGUAGCGUAAAUGUGGGUGUAAAACCCGCACGCCGAAAGCCUAAGGUUUCCUGGGGAAGGUUAAUCCGCCCAGGGUUAGUCGGGUCCUAAGCCGAGGCCGAAAGGCGUAGGUGAUGGAAAACGGGUUAAUAUUCCCGUACCGCCAUGUUAGCGUUUGAGCGAAGGGGUGACGGAGGAGGGUAGGCCAUCCGGGUGACGGAAGUCCCGGUUCAAGCCGGUAGGCGGGAAGGGCAGGCAAAUCCGCCCUUCCAUUAACGCCGAGAGGCGAUGUGGAGGAAAGCCGCAAGGCAGACCGAACUGGCUAAACCCACACUCCCAAGAAAAACCUCGUAGUGAGCUAACAAGGCGCUCGUACUGCAAACCGACUCUGGUAGGCGAGUAGAGAAUACUAAGGCGCUCGAGAGAACCCUGGUUAAGGAACUCGGCAAUCUAGCCCCGUAACUUCGGGAGAAGGGGUGCCUUUGCCAGUUGUCCGGAUUUACUCCGGAAGGCCCGCAAAGGCCGCAGUGAAAUGGGGGUUGCGACUGUUUAACAAAAACACAGGACUCUGCUAACUCGAAAGAUGUUGUAUAGGGUCUGUCGCCUGCCCGGUGCCGGAA